GACGAACGCUGGCGGCGUGCUUAACACAUGCAAGUCGAACGGAAAGGCCCUGCUUUUGUGGGGUGCUCGAGUGGCGAACGGGUGAGUAACACGUGAGUAACCUGCCCUUGACUUUGGGAUAACUUCAGGAAACUGGGGCUAAUACCGGAUAGGAGCUCCUGCUGCAUGGUGGGGGUUGGAAAGUUUCGGCGGUUGGGGAUGGACUCGCGGCUUAUCAGCUUGUUGGUGGGGUAGUGGCUUACCAAGGCUUUGACGGGUAGCCGGCCUGAGAGGGUGACCGGCCACAUUGGGACUGAGGUACGGCCCAGACGCCUACGGGAGGCAGCAGUGGGGAAUAUUGCACAAUGGCGGAAGCCUGAUGCAGCAACGCCGCGUGCGGGAUGACGGCCUUCGGGUUGUAAACCGCUUUCGCCUGUGACGAAGCGUGAGUGACGGUAAUGGGUAAAGAAGCACCGGCUAACUACGUG
This 467-nucleotide ribosomal RNA is filed under the name uncultured bacterium. Its description in RNAcentral is "partial 16S ribosomal RNA". It matches the Rfam family "Bacterial small subunit ribosomal RNA", at positions 28 to 507 of the family's 1533-position model. The record is from RNAcentral.